This 458-nucleotide ribosomal RNA is filed under the name uncultured bacterium. Its description in RNAcentral is "bacterial SSU rRNA". It matches the Rfam family "Bacterial small subunit ribosomal RNA", at positions 338 to 793 of the family's 1533-position model. The record is from RNAcentral.
CCUACGGGAGGCAGCAGUAAGGAAUAUUGGUCAAUGGGGGCAACCCUGAACCAGCCAUGCCGCGUGCAGGAUGAUUGCCCUAUGGGUUGUAAACUGCUUUUGUCGGGGAAUAAACCCCACUACGUGUAGUGGGCUGAAUGUACCCGAAGAAUAAGGAUCGGCUAACUCCGUGCCAGCAGCCGCGGUAAUACGGAGGAUCCGAGCGUUAUCCGGAUUUAUUGGGUUUAAAGGGUGCGUAGGCGGCACUUUAAGUCAGGGGUGAAAGACGGCAGCUCAACUGUCGCAGUGCCCUUGAUACUGAAGUGCUUGAAUGCGAUUGAAGACGGCGGAAUGAGACAAGUAGCGGUGAAAUGCAUAGAUAUGUCUCAGAACACCGAUUGCGAAGGCAGCUGUCUAAGCCGUUAUUGACGCUGAUGCACGAAAGCGUGGGGAUCGAACAGGAUUAGAUACCCUGGUAG